UUAGUUUCAAGUUUAAUGGUUACAGAAUCAAGUUAACGGUAAGUGUUUCAUGUUUAUUAGUCCAUUAAUUGCAUGAUAUUCGUGGUUGCAAGUUAAUGAUCCUAAUUUCAUGUUCAUUGUUCUAAGUUUCAAGUUCCUUUGGUUUCAAGUUCCUUUGGUUUCAAGUUUCAUGAUCUUAGUUUCAAGUUAAUGAUAGGUGUUUCAUGUUUAUUGAUCUAUUAAUUGCAUGAUUUUCAGGGUUGCAAGUUAAUGAUCUUAAGUUCCAUGUUCAUUACUCUAAGUUUUAAGUUCCUUUGGUUUCUAGUUUAAUGAUUCCAGUUUCAAGUUAAUAGUAGGUGUUUCAUGUUUAUUGGUCCAUUAAUCAGGGUUGUAAGUUAAUGAUCCCAAGUUUCAUUUUCAUUGCCCUCAGUUUCAAGUUCAUUUGGUUUCAAGUUUAAUGGUUCUAGUUUCAAGCUAAUGGUAGGUGUUUCAUGUUUAUUAAUCCAUUAAUUGCAUGAUUUUCGGGGUUGCAAGUUAAUGACCUCAAGUUUCAUGUUUAUUUCUCUAAAUUUCAAGUUCCUUUGGUUUCAAGUUUAAUGGUCUCAGUUUUAAGUUAAUGGUAUGCGUUUCAUGUUUAUUGGUCCAUUAAUUGCAUGAUUUUCGGGGUUGCAAGUUAAUGAUCUCAAGUUCGAUGUUCAUUACUCUAAGUUUCAAGUUCCUUUGGUUUCAAGUUUAAUGAUCCAAGUUUCAAGUUAAUGGUAGGUAUUUCAUGUUUAUUGGUCUCAUGUUUCAUGUUUACUGCUUUUUUAGGUUUCCAUUUCUUUCAUAUUUAAUAAUAAUAAAAAAUCUCAGCCAUUUGAUCUACUCCAAUUUAAUCAAAUGGCUAUUUUUUAUGCAUGUAUGAGAUACAUGCAUGUACUGUAGUAGCACCCUCAGAUAAUAAACCACAUUAGUUUGCAUACUUAAUAAUAUUAAUUUCAAAAAGAUUUUUUUUAUGAGAGAUAGUGAAGAUUAGAGAUGGCAAAACCGGUUGUGUUCGCGUCGUGUCAGCUUCAUGUCGUGUUAAAUUUAGGUUGACCCAAACACGAUCCAUUUAAUAAUCUUAUCAAAAUAUUGAGACCUAAACCCGACACGGAAAAUAAACAUGUUACUCAAUAACCAGUUUAAUAUCUACAUAUUUAACAAAUGUUACACACACACGCACACAUACGCACCCACAUAU
RNAcentral lists this long non-coding RNA (1201 nucleotides) under Citrus x clementina. Its description in RNAcentral is "Citrus clementina (C. clementina) long non-coding RNA (CCLE_LNC001025)". The record is from RNAcentral. Lineage: Eukaryota; Viridiplantae; Streptophyta; Magnoliopsida; Sapindales; Rutaceae.